UGGCUAACUCCGUGCCAGCAGCCGCGGUAAUACGGAGGGGGCUAGCGUUAUUCGGAAUUAUUGGGCGUAAAGGGCGCGUAGGCUGGUUAAUAAGUUAAAAGUGAAAUCCCGAGGCUUAACCUUGGAAUUGCUUUUAAAACUAUUAAUCUAGAGAUUGAAAGAGGAUAGAGGAAUUCCUGAUGUAGAGGUAAAAUUCGUAAAUAUUAGGAGGAACACCAGUGGCGA
RNAcentral lists this ribosomal RNA (225 nucleotides) under uncultured bacterium. Its description in RNAcentral is "partial 16S ribosomal RNA". It matches the Rfam family "Bacterial small subunit ribosomal RNA", at positions 494 to 718 of the family's 1533-position model. The record is from RNAcentral.